GACGAACGCUGGCGGCGUGCCUAAUACAUGCAAGUAGAACGCUGAAGACUUUAGCUUGCUAAAAUUGGAAGAGUUGCGAACGGGUGAGUAACACGUGGGCAACCUGCCUCAUAGAGGGGAAUAGCCUCCCGAAAGGGAGAUUAAUACCGCAUAAGAUUGUAGCUUCGCAUGAAGUAGCAAUUAAAGGAGCAAUCCGCUAUGAGAUGGGCCCGCGGCGCAUUAGCUAGUUGGUGAGGUAACGGCUCACCAAGGCGACGAUGCGUAGCCGACCUGAGAGGGUGAUCGGCCACAUUGGGACUGAGACACGGCCCAG
Molecule: ribosomal RNA, 313 nt
Filed under: uncultured bacterium
Lineage: Bacteria
Description: bacterial SSU rRNA
Rfam family: Bacterial small subunit ribosomal RNA
Source: RNAcentral